Molecule: ribosomal RNA, 490 nt
Filed under: uncultured bacterium
Lineage: Bacteria
Description: partial 16S ribosomal RNA
Rfam family: Bacterial small subunit ribosomal RNA
Source: RNAcentral
AUUGAACGCUGGCGGCAGGCCUAACACAUGCAAGUCGAACGGUAACAGGAAGCAGCUUGCUGCUUCGCUGACGAGUGGCGGACGGGUGAGUAAUGUCUGGGAAGCUGCCUGAUGGAGGGGGAUAACUACUGGAAACGGUAGCUAAUACCGCAUAAUGUCGCAAGACCAAAGAGGGGGACCUUCGGGCCUCUUGCCAUCGGAUGUGCCCAGAUGGGAUUAGCUUGUUGGUUGGGUAACGGCUCACCAAGGCGACGAUCCCUAGCUGGUCUGAGAGGAUGACCAGCCACACUGGGACUGAGACACGGUCCAGACUCCUACGGGAGGCAGCAGUGGGGAAUAUUGCACAGUGGGCGCAAGCCUGAUGCAGCCAUGCCGCGUGUAUGAAGAAGGCCUUCGGGUUGUAAAGUACUUUCAGCGGGGAGGAAGGGAGUAAAGUUAAUACCUGUGCUCAUUGACGUUACCCGCAGAAGAAGCACCGGCUAACUCCGUG